Molecule: small nucleolar RNA, 216 nt
Filed under: Sinocyclocheilus anshuiensis
Lineage: Eukaryota; Metazoa; Chordata; Actinopteri; Cypriniformes; Cyprinidae
Description: Small nucleolar RNA U3 (ENSSANG00000039744.1)
Rfam family: Small nucleolar RNA U3
About the family: Small nucleolar RNAs (snoRNAs) are involved in the processing and modification of rRNA in the nucleolus. There are two main classes of snoRNAs: the box C/D class, and the box H/ACA class.
Source: Rfam by way of RNAcentral
AAGACUAUAAUUUCAGGAAUCAUUUCUAUAGUUCUUAACUAAGAAAUGUGUUUCGAAAGUGUUGUGUUUUCUAAACCACGGUGAUGAGCUUUGAUGCUCUUUUCUAAGCGUGAGGCAGGUGUAGAGUAAUGAUUUGUUUCGUAAGUUUUACAACUUUUAUGAGCCUUCCUUAUUGCGUCUUUGCAGUGAGGAAGAGAAGGGUAUGUUCAGAGUGGU